This 425-nucleotide RNase P RNA is filed under the name Bythopirellula goksoeyrii. RNAcentral describes it as "Bythopirellula goksoyri RNaseP_bact_a". It matches the Rfam family "Bacterial RNase P class A". Rfam says of the family: Ribonuclease P (RNase P) is a ubiquitous endoribonuclease, found in archaea, bacteria and eukarya as well as chloroplasts and mitochondria. Its best characterised activity is the generation of mature 5'-ends of tRNAs by cleaving the 5'-leader elements of precursor-tRNAs. Lineage: Bacteria; Pseudomonadati; Planctomycetota; Planctomycetia; Pirellulales; Lacipirellulaceae. The record is from RNAcentral.
GGAGUGAACCGGGAGACCGCCGGUUUGCCUUGUGCAAACGGGAGGAAAGUCCGGGCACCAAUGGACAGGGUGGUGGGUAACGCCCACCGAUCGUGAGAUUAGGGAAAGUGCCACAGAAAACAUACCGCCGAUGGGAGUGGUUAGCGUUUUGCAAUUAGCGAAUGAAUUUCUUGCUAAUGGUUAAACGCUAACCACUCCACAGGCAAGGGUGAAAAGGUGCGGUAAGAGCGCACCAGCAGACGGGGUGACUCGUUUGGCUUGGUAAACCCCACCCGGUGCAAGGCCAAACAGAGGGCAGAGUUCGUCCGACUCGUUACGACCCUCGGGUAGGCCGCUAAAGGCCGCGGGUAACCGUGGACGUAGAUGAAUGGUCGCCAAUCCACUUCGGUGGAUCACAGAACCCGGCUUAUAGGUUCUCUCCGGAU